This 534-nucleotide ribosomal RNA is filed under the name Arsenophonus endosymbiont of Bemisia tabaci. RNAcentral's name for it is "partial 23S ribosomal RNA". It matches the Rfam family "Bacterial large subunit ribosomal RNA", at positions 175 to 750 of the family's 2925-position model. The record is from RNAcentral. Lineage: Bacteria; Pseudomonadati; Pseudomonadota; Gammaproteobacteria; Enterobacterales; Morganellaceae.
CGAGGCGAACCGGGGAAACUGAAACAUCUUAGUACCCCGAGGAAAAGAAAUCAGCCGAGAUUUCCCCAGUAGCGGCGAGCGAACAGGGAGCAGCCCAGAGUCAACAUCAAUAUAUACCGCAGGAGAAAGAUCUGGAAAGGCCGGCAAUAAAGGGUGAUAGCCCCGUAUCUGAAGCGGUAAGUGUUGUGAACUCGAAGAGUAAGGCGGGACACGUGUUAUCCUGUCUGAAUAUGGGGGGACCAUCCUCCAAGGCUAAAUACUCCUGACUGACCGAUAGUGAACCAGUACCGUGAGGGAAAGGCGAAAAGAACCCCGGCGAGGGGAGUGAAAUAGAACCUGAAACCGUGUACGUACAAGCAGUAGGAGCACCCGAAAAGGUGUGACUGCGUACCUUUUGUAUAAUGGGUCAGCGACUUAUAUUCUGUAGCAAGGUUAACCGCAUAGGGGAGCCGUAGGGAAACCGAGUCUUAACUGGGCGUUAAGUUGCAGGGUAUAGACCCGAAACCCGGUGAUCUAGCCAUGAGCAGGUUGAAG